RNAcentral lists this ribosomal RNA (497 nucleotides) under uncultured bacterium. RNAcentral describes it as "partial 16S ribosomal RNA". It matches the Rfam family "Bacterial small subunit ribosomal RNA", at positions 28 to 507 of the family's 1533-position model. The record is from RNAcentral.
GAUGAACGCUGGCGGCGUGCCUAAUACAUGCAAGUCGAGCGAACGGACGAGAAGCUUGCUUCUCUGAUGUUAGCGGCGGACGGGUGAGUAACACGUGGAUAACCUACCUAUAAGACUGGGAUAACUUCGGGAAACCGGAGCUAAUACCGGAUAAUAUUUUGAACCGCAUGGUUCAAAAGUGAAAGACGGUCUUGCUGUCACUUAUAGAUGGAUCCGCGCUGCAUUAGCUAGUUGGUAAGGUAACGGCUUACCAAGGCAACGAUGCAUAGCCGACCUGAGAGAGGGGUCGGCCACACUGGAACUGAGACACGGUCCAGACUCCUACGGGAGGCAGCAGUAGGGAAUCUUCCGCAAUGGGCGAAAGCCUGACGGAGCAACGCCGCGUGAGUGAUGAAGGUCUUCGGAUCGUAAAACUCUGUUAUUAGGGAAGAACAUAUGUGUAAGUAACUGUGCACAUCUUGACGGUACCUAAUCAGAAAGCCACGGCUAACUACGUG